Molecule: unclassified non-coding RNA, 989 nt
Filed under: Leishmania donovani
Lineage: Eukaryota; Euglenozoa; Kinetoplastea; Trypanosomatida; Trypanosomatidae
Description: gene:unknown
Source: RNAcentral
ACCGGCAUCGUCUCCGUUGCCUUGCCCUUUCUCACCUACUUUGCCUUGCGCUCUUCCGCACAAUGUCUCUGUUCUCCCUCACCGUGUCCACGCCGCCACAGCACACACGUUGAGCCCCGCCCCGCCCGCCCCGUCAGAGACCCAUCGCACGCCGCGAAGCAGCCGCGCACACGCGUGGCGGCAAUGCGCCAGCUCAGGCAUGCGGGCAGCGUCUGCGCCCCAAACACCCCCCGCCCCCCCCCCCCUCGCAGGCUGCCUCACCGUCGCCCCCAGCCAUGCUGACCGCCACGCGAUGCAUCGCCCGAGGUCGCUCAGGCUUCCCUACACCAGCAGGCAGUGCGAGGGCCGGGUGGGACACGUUCGAGUCACGCUGACACUCCGCCCAGCAUACGGACGGCACAGGCGUGCGCACAGUGGCGGAUCUCUCCCCAACGCAGCGCCAUCCAGCACCUCACCGCCGACAUCAUUAGCGAUAAGUCGCUCUGGCCCCCAUACGUCGUAGGCGCCUGACCCUGCCACCAUGAAGGGUGGCUCGGCGCCGGCAUGUAUAAGGGGACUGCCAGGCCUCUCCACCGAGUGGGUGCUGCUGGGCCUUGAUGCCGCGCACCGAGACGCCGCCCUCCCGUCAUCACAGUUUGAGAGAAAGGAGAGGAAAACAAAAAUAACUGCUUAUCGAGUCUGUUACUCACGUCUUCUCGCUUGAGGGCUUGUGCGUGUAUGCCGUGCGCGUUCUCUGUCUCAACCCCCUCUCCCCUGUCACCACGACGGCGACACAUGAGUGGGGCCGCCGACUUACAGUUUCUGCCAACGACUCCCUCUUUCCUCGCUAGGCGGCGUACAGGAAAAGCGGAGCAAGCGAUGUGAAUGCGCAGGAACGUGUGCGUACGAGUUGGGGGAGGGGGGAGGUAGAGGCUGAGGCGAUCGUUGCAUGGUGGAUGUUGCCCAUUCCGCACACGUCGUUUGUAUCUCAUCCUUUCACCUCUAGCAUC